RNAcentral lists this non-coding RNA (64 nucleotides) under Comamonas aquatica. Its description in RNAcentral is "Xanthine-I sequence". It matches the Rfam family "Xanthine riboswitch aptamer (NMT1 RNA)". Rfam says of the family: Later it was reported as a ncRNA that recognised Xanthine. The record is from RNAcentral. Lineage: Bacteria; Pseudomonadati; Pseudomonadota; Betaproteobacteria; Burkholderiales; Comamonadaceae. RNAcentral also lists the same sequence under 1 other name.
GCUUCGAGUAGAAGCGUUCAGCGCAUCACGGCUUGGGCCGUGCCGCCCGGAAAUUGCUCACCCC